GACGAACGCUGGCGGCGUGCUUAACACAUGCAAGUCGAACGGAAAGGCCCUGCUUUUGUGGGGUGCUCGAGUGGCGAACGGGUGAGUAACACGUGAGUAACCUGCCCUUGACUUUGGGAUAACUUCAGGAAACUGGGGCUAAUACCGGAUAGGAGCUCCUGCUGCAUGGUGGGGGUUGGAAAGUUUCGGCGGUUGGGGAUGGACUCGCGGCUUAUCAGCUUGUUGGUGGGGUAGUGGCUUACCAAGGCUUUGACGGGUAGCCGGCCUGAGAGGGUGACCGGCCACAUUGGGACUGAGAUACGGCCCAGACUCCUACGGGAGGCAGCAGUGGGGAAUAUUGCACAAUGGGCGGAAGCCUGAUGCAGCAACGCCGCGUGCGGGAUGACGGCCUUCGGGUUGUAAACCGCUUUCGCCUGUGACGAAGCGUGAGUGACGGUAAUGGGUAAAGAAGCACCGGCUAACUACGUGCCAGCAGCCGCGGUGAUACGUAGGGUGCGAGCGUUGUCCGGAUUUAUUGGGCGUAAAGGGCUCGUAGGUGGUUGAUCGCGUCGGAAGUGUAAUCUUGGGGCUUAACCCUGAGCGUGCUUUCGAUACGGGUUGACUUGAGGAAGGUAGGGGAGAGUGGAAUUCCUGGUGGAGCGGUGGAAUGCGCAGAUAUCAGGAGGAACACCAGUGGCGAAGGCGGUUCUCUGGGCCUUUCCUGACGCUGAGGAGCGAAAGCGUGGGGAGCGAACAGGCUUAGAUACCCUGGUAGUCCACGCUGUAAACGGUGGGUACUAGGUGUGGGGUCCAUUCCACGGGUUCCGUGCCGUAGCUAACGCUUUAAGUACCCCGCCUGGGGAGUACGGCCGCAAGGCUAAAACUCAAAGGAAUUGACGGGGCCCCGCACAAGCGGCGGAGCAUGCGGAUUAAUUCGAUGCAACGCGUAGAACCUUACCUGGGUUUGACAUGGAUCGGGAGUGCUCAGAGAUGGGUGUGCCUCUUUUGGGGUCGGUUCACAGGUGGUGCAUGGCUGUCGUCAGCUCGUGUCGUGAGAUGUUGGGUUAAGUCCCGCAACGAGCGCAACCCUUGUUCACUGUUGCCAGCACGUUAUGGUGGGGACUCAGUGGAGACCGCCGGGGUCAACUCGGAGGAAGGUGGGGAUGACGUCAAGUCAUCAUGCCCCUUAUGUCCAGGGCUUCACGCAUGCUACAAUGGCUGGUACAGAGAGUGGCGAGCCUGUGAGGGUGAGCGAAUCUCGGAAAGCCGGUCUCAGUUCGGAUUGGGGUCUGCAACUCGACCUCAUGAAGUCGGAGUCGCUAGUAAUCGCAGAUCAGCAACGCUGCGGUGAAUACGUUCCCGGGGCU
RNAcentral lists this ribosomal RNA (1346 nucleotides) under uncultured bacterium. RNAcentral's name for it is "partial 16S ribosomal RNA". It matches the Rfam family "Bacterial small subunit ribosomal RNA", at positions 28 to 1381 of the family's 1533-position model. The record is from RNAcentral.